This 1189-nucleotide ribosomal RNA is filed under the name Microbacterium paraoxydans. RNAcentral describes it as "bacterial SSU rRNA". It matches the Rfam family "Bacterial small subunit ribosomal RNA", at positions 54 to 1241 of the family's 1533-position model. The record is from RNAcentral. Lineage: Bacteria; Bacillati; Actinomycetota; Actinomycetes; Micrococcales; Microbacteriaceae.
CAUGCAGUCGACGGUGAAGCAGGAGCUUGCUCUUGUGGAUCAGUGGCGAACGGGUGAGUAACACGUGAGCAACCUGCCCCUGACUCUGGGAUAAGCGCUGGAAACGGCGUCUAAUACUGGAUAUGUGACGUGACCGCAUGGUCUGCGUUUGGAAAGAUUUUUCGGUUGGGGAUGGGCUCGCGGCCUAUCAGCUUGUUGGUGAGGUAAUGGCUCACCAAGGCGUCGACGGGUAGCCGGCCUGAGAGGGUGACCGGCCACACUGGGACUGAGACACGGCCCAGACUCCUACGGGAGGCAGCAGUGGGGAAUAUUGCACAAUGGGCGAAAGCCUGAUGCAGCAACGCCGCGUGAGGGAUGACGGCCUUCGGGUUGUAAACCUCUUUUAGCAGGGAAGAAGCGAAAGUGACGGUACCUGCAGAAAAAGCGCCGGCUAACUACGUGCCAGCAGCCGCGGUAAUACGUAGGGCGCAAGCGUUAUCCGGAAUUAUUGGGCGUAAAGAGCUCGUAGGCGGUUUGUCGCGUCUGCUGUGAAAUCCCGAGGCUCAACCUCGGGCCUGCAGUGGGUACGGGCAGACUAGAGUGCGGUAGGGGAGAUUGGAAUUCCUGGUGUAGCGGUGGAAUGCGCAGAUAUCAGGAGGAACACCGAUGGCGAAGGCAGAUCUCUGGGCCGUAACUGACGCUGAGGAGCGAAAGGGUGGGGAGCAAACAAGCUUAGAUACCCUGGUAGUCCACCCCGUAAACGUUGGGAACUAGUUGUGGGGUCCAUUCCACGGAUUCCGUGACGCAGCUAACGCAUUAAGGUUCCCCCGCCUGGGGAGUACGGCCGCAGGCUAAAACUCAAAGAAUUGACGGGGACCCGCACAAGCGGCGGAGAUGCGGAUUAAUUCUAUGCAACGCGAAGAACCUUACCAAGGCUUGACUAUACUAGAACGGGGCAGAAAUGGUCACUCUUUUGACACUCGUAACAAGGUGGUGSAUGGUUGUCGUCAGCUCCGUGUCGUGAGAUGUUGGGUUAAGUCCCCGAACGSAGCGCCACCCCCUCGGUUCUAUGUUUGCCAGCACAGUAAUGUUGGAAAUUCAUGGGAAUACUGCCCUGGGGGUCAACUCUCGAGCAUGGUGGGGAUGAACGUAAAAUCAUCAUGGCCCCUGUGUGNUCUUGACCUUCACGCAUGCUACAUCGGCGGGUACA